RNAcentral lists this non-coding RNA (103 nucleotides) under Candidatus Parcubacteria bacterium. RNAcentral describes it as "Parcubacteria bacterium SAM-I sequence". It matches the Rfam family "SAM riboswitch aptamer (S box leader)". From Rfam's summary of the family: The SAM riboswitch is found upstream of a number of genes which code for proteins involved in methionine or cysteine biosynthesis in Gram-positive bacteria. The SAM riboswitch acts at the level of transcription termination control. The predicted structure consists of a complex stem-loop region followed by a single stem loop terminator region. The record is from RNAcentral. Lineage: Bacteria; Candidatus Parcubacteria.
GCGAUAUCAAGAGAGAGGGGAGAGCACUGGCUCAAUGAUCCUCCGGCAACUGGCUUUGUGAGAGCGCGGUGCCAACCCAGCCCCGAACGGGGAAGGAUAACAA